GAUGAAGAACGUAGCGAAAUGCGAUGCGUAAUGUGAAUUGCAAAUUCAGUGAAUCAUCGAGUCUUUGAACGCACAUUGCGCCCCCUGGUAUUCCGGGGGGCAUGCCUGUCCGAGCGUCAUUGCUGCCCUCAAGCACGGCUUGUGUGUUGGGCCCCGUCCUCCGAUCCCGGGGGACGGGCCCGAAAGGCAGCGGCGGCACCGCGUCCGGUCCUCGAGCGUAUGGGGCUUUGUCACCCGCUCUGUAGGCCCGGCCGGCGCUUGCCGAUCAACCCAAAUUUUUAUCCAGGUUGACCUCGGAUCAGGUAGGGAUACCCGCUGAACUUAAGCAUAUCAAUAAGCGGAGGA
RNAcentral lists this unclassified non-coding RNA (345 nucleotides) under soil metagenome. RNAcentral describes it as "partial contains 5.8S ribosomal RNA, internal transcribed spacer 2, and large subunit ribosomal RNA". The stretch from base 1 to 119 matches the Rfam family "5.8S ribosomal RNA", at positions 35 to 154 of the family's 154-position model. The record is from RNAcentral.